Molecule: unclassified non-coding RNA, 1754 nt
Filed under: Hevea brasiliensis (rubber tree)
Lineage: Eukaryota; Viridiplantae; Streptophyta; Magnoliopsida; Malpighiales; Euphorbiaceae
Source: RNAcentral
AUUUCUUUAUGUUUUCACUGUAUGUGGUGUCAACUUAAACUCCUGAAUCACUAUUUGCACCUUAAAAACUCUUGACAUAUUUGUUUAUGCCAAAAUGUUAAAGGUGAAGUUUGCCCAGUCAUUAGGACCAAUAAGCAUUCCAAUUAGAGUAUACUCAAAUCCCUUAUUAGAAAUGCGUGAAUAUCCAAGUCUUGUUUGUCUGGUGAAACAUCCAAAUGCAACUUAUGAGUUUCUAGUGAGAACCUUGAAGCUCUUCAUUUAUGGAACAUCAUGGAGUGGACAUGCUCAUUACUUUGCAGGAAAAUACUACAAUAUGGUUCAUCAGAUUGUUCACUAUUGUAGGAAUAUCUGUCAGAGAACUUAUUUAUGUUGGUUUCUCUCACCCAUGCUAUUUGCAUUAAUAGUUUUAUCAUUGGAUGAAGCAGAUGCAUUAACUAGGUACUUGGUACGGGGAAUUUUGUGUUUUUCUUAUGAUGAUUCCACUUUUGGUAAAAAUUUUUCAUGUGAGCACUUCAAUUUGUUCUAAAUUUUUGCGCUAAUUUUGUAGUUUACUUGCUGCAAUUCAUAAUGAUUUUUUUUUUGACAUUGCAAUUAUAACAUCCAUAUGUCUAAAAUAAUAAACAUAAUUUAUUUAAAACUCCAAUUGUCAUAAGUUUCAUAAGAAAUAUGUUUGAGAUAUAUUUUUCUUUUUAAAAUUUUCUUUUUUAUGUUUUUGGCUGGAAUAGGUAGCACAGCUUAGAAUGAUUCCCCGUGUUCUUAUUGGCCACAGCUUUGGGGGAAAAGUUGUCUUGAGCAUGGUGGAACAAGCUGCAAAGCCUCUUGCGCGGCCAGUUAAAGUUUGGGUUCUAGAUGCUACUCCUGGAAAAGUUCGAGCUGGUGGAGAUGGAGAGGACCAUCCAGCAGAGUUGAUAUCUUUCCUUAGCAAGCUGCCAAAGGAGGUCUCCUCAAAGCGAGAAGUUGUGAACGCUCUUCUUCAGGGGGGAUUUUCUAAGGAUGUUGCACAGUGGGUCGUAACUAAUCUUCAAUCAAAUGGUCAUUCGGGUUCAUCAUUGGGCUUCUCAUGGGUAUUUGACCUUGAAGGGAUUGCUGAAAUGUACCAAUCUUAUGAAGAAACAAAUUUAUGGAAAUUUGUUGAAAAUUUGCCUCAAGGUGUUCAUGUCAAUUUCCUAAAGGCAGAGAGGAGUUUGCACAGGUGGGCCCUUGAAGAUCUGCAGCGAAUUCAUGCUGCUGAGGAUCUGGCUGCUGAGGAGGGAGGUGGAGUUGAAAUGCAUGUCCUUGAAGAUGCUGGCCAUUGGGUACAUGCUGAUAACCCAGAUGGGCUUUUCAGGAUUCUUUCAUCUUCUUUCCAGGGGUUCAAAACCUGAAGGUGUUGCAUUGAAUCACUGCUUAUACUUGUUUGGAUACAACAGCUAUAAAUUACAAAAUUUGUUUGUGUAAUCAUUUUUGUCUAAACACAAAUUAUCAAGUGAUUCCACACAUUUCUGUGCCAUAGAGGUCGAGCAUAAUUUUAGUUUCUUGCAAAUUGUCACGCUGGGGUAUGCUUGUGCUAGUAGUAAUCCUGGUAACAAGCUUGUAAACAAUCGAGUCUUGUUGAGUUUUGACACCUUUAGGAUUGAUAAAUUUUUUAAUUGACCAACUCCAGCUUUGCUCGGUUUUAUUAACUUAGCUUAGAAACAACAAAAUAUGCUAACUGUUAUAGAUGUUAUGUAUUUGCAUUUGAUUAUUUAAUUAACAAAUUAUUGCAAAUUCUCCUA